This 5486-nucleotide long non-coding RNA is filed under the name Sus scrofa (pig). Its description in RNAcentral is "lncRNA (ENSSSCG00060037606.1)". The record is from RNAcentral. Lineage: Eukaryota; Metazoa; Chordata; Mammalia; Artiodactyla; Suidae.
ACAGCAAGGAAGAAAUGAAAACUUGGAAAUUAAACUAAGGCGCUUACAAACCUGGUAGUUAUUUCACAAAAUGUGUCAAAUUUAAGAUUGGGAUCUUAGAUAAGGAAAACUUGAGGUCCUUUUUUCCUAUUUUCUUAAAUAUCCAUAAUAUAUUACUUCUGUUAAUGGGAAAUAUUAAUGAAAGAAAUUUACAGACAUUCAAUACUUAAAUUUAUGGGUUUCUUAGCUCAUUAUUUUUCCCCAAUAAGCAUUACAUGUUUUGAUAAAGAUAAUUUAAAUAUCACUUAAAAACAACUUUAGCUCUAAAGAUAUCAAAUUUCUGAAAGGCAGAAGGAGCUUUCAAAAUAUAUUUCACCUAGAACUGAAAGAGUUAUAAUGUCUGAAGGAAAAUAUAAGUUGUAAACUAUACAGUUUGCUGGGUAGUAGACAAGAGAAUCACUGUACAUAAGAAAAAGUAAUGGGUUAAAUAACUGACAGACAAAAAACACACACAUGCACAAGUCUGUGUGGUAGGCGUCACAUGUGCGAAAAAUUUUUUCACCCAGGGAGGAAACAAAAAAUUUGGUAUAAUUUUUCCUACAAGGCAAAAGUAGGCAGAAAUGUCAAAUGAUAUGACUUGUGUUAUAAGGAGACUGAAGGGAAGCAAGCUAAGAUUUGUACUGCGAUUUAUAUAAAUACUCAGAAAAGUAGCAUAUCGCUUGUGAUUGAAGUUAAGGAAAAGUAACAAGCACCUCAGAAACCAAGAGGGCUUUCAGCCUUUUUCUGGAUAGAUAGUUUGCAGUAAAGUCAUAAAAAAGCCCACCAGCAUUGGAGAGUAGUAUCUUGGAAUAAGUCAGGUAGAAAUAAAGCGGUGGUUUCCUUUAAGUUGUAUGAAUAAAGCAAAGUGUCAAAUUGUAUGUAGAGGACUAUAUAUAAGACCUUUUUAUACAGUAUAGUUUACUGCUUCACAUUUAAGUUUAGUUUUCAAUGUAAAGAAACUUACUUAAAAAAAAAACACUAUAUAUAAUCUUACAUAGCUCUUUCCAAAUGAAUUAGACUUGUCAACUUCAACUCAGUCAGUAUCUCUCUGGUCUUCUUCCUUUCCCUGUUGCUAGGAAAAAGGAAAAUUCACUAACAGUUAAUAGAGCAAGCUUAAUCUCACUGAUAAUCCGGCUUGCUUCAUGUAUAGGUGGCUGGGGUUACUCUUGCAGCUGCAUUCCAGAGAAGUCUCUGGGGCCAGAAGGUCCAAAUGACCUCACUCGUAUAUCUAAUACCUCAGCUGGGGUGAGAAAUGGCAGUUGCUUGGUGGGCCUCUUCCUUGUCCUUAGAAAUCACUCCAGGGAAUCCCAUAAUGCCUCUUCCUCCAGAUUCUACUGAUCAGAGCCUAUGGCAGAUCAGUAGGCCACACCAGAUUCAAGAGGUGAGGAAACUGACCCCAUGGCUUUAUGGAAAGAACUGUGUAUAUAUGUAUAUGUAUAGGACAUCCUAGAAGUUGUUGUCAUCAUCUUUGCAGACAAAGCAAAUACAACAAAUGCAUAACUUCUGAUUAGACUUUCCUUCUAGCCACACUCCUCCAGCUAAAUCAGAGGAUAAGCUUUGCUAUUUACUACUCUUGUGACCUUGAGCUUGUUACUUAGAGUAGAAGAAUAUAAUGCCCCCUUAAAGACUGAAUCAAAUAAUGUAUCUUAUAAACAUUGACCUAGCACAUGACAUUAAUAAAUAUGCAACAAAUAUUAAUUUAUUCAUCUCACUCUACUUUUUAAGAGGCAAUAUCCUUCAGAGAAAAUACAUUUAGAAAGCAUGCUUUCUGUGCCAAAAGGAAAAUACACUCUAAAGAAAUCUUGGAAAUACCUCCCAGAAAAAUUUUAAAUUGUAAUAAUCCUUGCUGUUGCUUCAACCGCUUAAACCUGUAACCUGCUAUUCGGCAUAUUUCUUAUCUGUUUUGAAACAUCUUGGUAAGAUUAUUCACAUUUCUACUAGACAGCAUUUUUUUAAUAGUAAUCCUGACAUUACACACCUCAAACUACUGUAUAAUAGACUAAAAAAAGCUUAGGAACAUAAGAUUUGGAUAUAAAAAGAUAGGCAUUUACCAGUAAAAUAAAUGUCAGAAAUGUUUCCCCUUUAAAAGUCAUUAGCUGUCAUUUUAAGGAAUAUUUAGAAUGGUGCAUAUAGAAAACUCUCAGAAUAAAAUUUAAAUAUUUUCUUAAAUUAGAAUUAAUACUUAUAACCACAGUAAUGAAGAAACCCUAAUACUAUUUUUAAAAUACCCUUUGGCAUUGAUUAUUCUAUCAACCAGUUUCAAAUAUAAACAUUUAAAAAUAAAACUAUAGGAGUUCCCGUCAUGGCUGAGUGGUUAAUGAGUCUGACUAGGAACCAUGAGAUUUCAGGUUCGAUCCCUGGCCUCACUCAGUAGGUUCAGUAUCCGGCGUUGCUGUGAGUUGUGGUGUAGGUCACAGAUGCGGCUCGGAUCUGGUAUUGCUGUGGCUGUGGCAUAGACCAGCGGCUACAGUUCCAAUUCGACCCUUAGCCUGGGAACCUCCAUGUGCCGUGGGUGCGGCCCUAGAAAAGACAAAAUAAAUAAACUAAAAUAAAAAUAAAACUAUAGCAACACAAGCAAGCAUAGUUUAUAUUGGAACAACCGAAAGAAAUGAUGUCACAAUAGGAAAAUUUUAGUACUGUAUUACGAAGUGCCACUGAUUUAUGUAGUAUGUGAAGUGACACAGAGAAUGUAAUUCCUGUUUCAUGAAACUGCUCUUACAGAGGUUUAUAAAAAUAUAUGGAAGAAAGGAGUUAGCUGAUUUUAAAUCAGAUUGUUGGAAAUAAGAUUAUUGUCUCUAUUUCCCAGGAGGAGCUGUUACACAGACUUUAAAGAUGAGUGUUGAGCUAGCAUAUACUUUGUGCACAUUUUCCUCCAAAAUGCAGAGGCCUUCUGUGCCCCCCAGGACUAAAUUCCUAGGGAUAAAAUUUUAGACUGAUUGGUGGGGGGAGUGAAAUAAUCUGCAAGGCAUUACGGCCUUAGUAAGAGGACUGCUGCCUUCACCAUGGCUGAACUUUGGGCAUGUUGUACCCAGUGCAGUGAAAAGCAUGAGAAUGUUUGUUUAUUUAUUUAUUUUCUUUUUUUUUUUCUUUUUAGGGCCACACCCACUGCAUAUGGAGGUUCCCAGGCUAGGGGUCGAAUUGGAGCUGUGGCUGCUGGCCUACACCACAGCCACAGCAACACCCGGUUUGAACCACAUCUGUGACCUACAUCUCAGCUCAUGGCAAUGCUGAAUUCACUGAGUAAGGCCAGGGAUGGAACCUACAUCCUCAUAGGUACUAGUUGGGCCUGCUGAGCCACAAUGGGAACUCCUAAGAAUGCCUAUUUCUAAUCUUAGGACAUUGUCAUCUUGUUGGCAUGAUCCAUUUCUAAAGAAGUAUACAUGAUGUUUUUUCUCGUUAUAUAUUGCUGUGAAGAUAGUCAUAUUUCUGAAAUCACCUCCAAGUAUCUGAUUUCUAUAUCUUAAAAUGAAGGCUGGAUUUUAUAUUCAUUUGGGGACACAAUGAAUGAAGGAACAUUUGAGAAUUGCUACUCUCAUUGACGAUCUGCUGAUUAAAAGAGAGUAAUUUUUAGAGAUAUGCUUGUAUAUCUAGAUGCACUAUUUCCACCAAAAAAAAAAAAAAACAAAAACAAAAACACAACAAAGACUUAUUCAAAAGCAAACUCCACCAGACCAAUAUAGUUAUUUUCUGCAAUAGAAGCUUGGCAUGUUUAACUAGGAAACAAUUUCUAUUUUGAAUGUAAUAUUGCUCUUAUUUGAACAUCUCAUCUUUGAAUGUAUUCUAUGGGGAAAUAUACUCCUGUGUCCAACUUGAACCAUAAUUAUUGGAGUGUGGUAUCAAUCUUUGGCAACAAGUAAUGGGAAAGAGAUUUGUCCUAUUCAAUAGCUACAUUGAUGACUUGGAUGAAGAAACAGAGAAACAGCAAAUAUAUAAUUCUAUAUUAUUUUGUAUUCAAAGUGGAAAUAAAAGGAGUUCCCACUGUGGCACAGUAGGUUAAGAACCCAACUGCACUGGCUCAGGUGCUGUGGAGGCAUAGAUUUCCAGGCAUGAUCCCAGCCCUGUGCAGUGGGUUAAAGGAUCUGGCAUUGUCACCGCUAUGGCAAAGAUGACAGCUGUGUCUUGGAUUCAGUCCCCUGACCUGGGAACUUUCAUAUGCAGUGGUGCGGCCUUAAAAAAUAAAAGCAGCCAAAAAAAAAAAAAAAUGUUUCUAAAGAGAAUGUAACUAGGAAAAGGUUUAAAGAAGUCACAUAAUACAGCAUGACGAUACAAGAAAGGGCUGCUGAAAUACAAAUGUAAUAUUAACAUUGGACCUCAUUCCCAUCCCACCUCCCACAAGGUACUAGGCCACAUCUUACCUGCUUUGUGAGAUGGAAUCACCACUUUACAGAUGAGAAAUAGUGGCUUCAAUGAGGACAUGAUUUACUUAAGUGACAGAUGCAUGUCUGUGAAUUGGAGAAGACCUUUCACUUUAGACCUGCCAGAAUUAUAUAGAGGAGAGGGUUUGGAAGCUGUCUUACAUGCAUGAGACAUUCAAGCAAUUCAUUUGAUCUUUUGUGGUCUGUUUUCUCACCUGUUAAAUGGAAUUAACAAUGCAUGUUUAAUUAUGAGCUUGCAGCCAUAAUUUAGUGUAUGCUAAUUAUGCCAUUUUUAAGAAAGCCGAAAUGUUUUAUGAGGCAUAAGUUAAAGAUAGAUUAAAUAAAGAUGAGAACUACACCAAUAAAUUUUAUUAUUGGGCAGGAUUUCACUAAUAUUUUUUAAAAUUAAUCCAUUUAAUGUAUUUUUCAAAAACAUUUAAAUCUGACCAUACUUCUCACUUCUGGUCACCAUAAAUAAAUAUGAGGAUCUCAUGAAGAAUGACAGUGAUGAGUAGGUUUCAGAAUAUUUCCUAUAAAAAGGUGGUAGAAGGAAUUAAGGUUCUAUAACUUUUAACAGUUAUUCCAAUUUGACUGUUACCAUCAAGCAAAUUAAAUUUUGUUCAGAAAAAGAUACUGUGCCAUCCUCAGUAGCAAGAAGUGACUAAGUAGGAGAAUAUGAAUCAAAACUAAGAUUUUUACAUUAAACUAUAAUUCAGGAUAAAGAGAUAAUAAUAUUCAGACCUGUAAAUUGGAAUUUUGUGACUGAACAUUUGACUAUACUUUUAGAUGAUUAAUUUAGUUACAUGAAAUCAGAUGAUAUCAGUUCUCUUUAACUUGCUUUUGGGUCUAUUCUCUGUGAAUGAUUUGAUAUUAACAGAAUAUUAUGGUUGAAUGGAAAUACAGCUUUUAUACAUAGGUCUUUAAUUAAGUUCAUUUCUCUAGGUAUGAAGUAUAUCUGGGGGCUAAAUUCUCUGAAAUUAAAUGUGGCAUCUAAGAAGUGACUGCUUUAGUAAAACUGUAAAACUUACUACUUUGAUACUUUAAUAGUUAUUGCUAUUCCCUAUUCCUAGGGGUAUGAUAGGACUAAGUUUUCCAGAAUCUGAACUCACUAUU